AACGAACGCUGGCGGCAUGCCUAACACAUGCAAGUCGAACGAGACCUUCGGGUCUAGUGGCGCACGGGUGCGUAACGCGUGGGAACCUGCCCUUAGGUUCGGAAUAACUCCCCGAAAGGGGUGCUAAUACCGGAUAAUGUCUUCGGACCAAAGAUUUAUCGCCUUUAGAUGGGCCCGCGUUGGAUUAGCUAGUUGGUAGGGUAAAAGCCUACCAAGGCGACGAUCCAUAGCUGGUCUGAGAGGAUGAUCAGCCACACUGGGACUGAGACACGGCCCAGACUCCUACGGGAGGCAGCAGUGGGGAAUAUUGGACAAUGGGCGAAAGCCUGAUCCAGCAAUGCCGCGUGAGUGAUGAAGGCCUUAGGGUUGUAAAGCUCUUUUACCCGGGAUGAUAAUGACAGUACCGGGAGAAUAAGCGCCGGCUAACUCCGUG
RNAcentral lists this ribosomal RNA (433 nucleotides) under uncultured bacterium. Its description in RNAcentral is "partial 16S ribosomal RNA". It matches the Rfam family "Bacterial small subunit ribosomal RNA", at positions 29 to 507 of the family's 1533-position model. The record is from RNAcentral.